CAAAGAGAAGCAAAGCCGCGAGGUAGAGCAAAUCUCAAAAAAACAAUCUCAGUUCAGACUGCAGGCUGCAACUCGCCUGCACGAAGUCGGAAUUGCUAGUAAUCGUAGGUCAGCAUACUACGGUGAAUACGUUCCCGGGCCUUGUACACACCGCCCGUCAAACCAUGAGAGUUGGCAACACCCGAAGUCGGUAGUCUAACCGCAAGGAGGACGCCGCCGAAGGUGGGGUUGGUGAUUAGGGUUAAGUCGUAACAAGGUAUC
RNAcentral lists this ribosomal RNA (261 nucleotides) under uncultured bacterium. RNAcentral's name for it is "partial 16S ribosomal RNA". It matches the Rfam family "Bacterial small subunit ribosomal RNA", at positions 1240 to 1500 of the family's 1533-position model. The record is from RNAcentral.